This 301-nucleotide ribosomal RNA is filed under the name uncultured bacterium. RNAcentral's name for it is "partial 16S ribosomal RNA". It matches the Rfam family "Bacterial small subunit ribosomal RNA", at positions 509 to 808 of the family's 1533-position model. The record is from RNAcentral.
CAGUAGCACGGUAAUACGUAGGGUGCGAGCGUUAAUCGGAAUUACUGGGCGUAAAGCGUGCGCAGGCGGUUAUAUAAGACAGAUGUGAAAUCCCCGGGCUCAACCUGGGACCUGCAUUUGUGACUGUAUAGCUAGAGUACGGUAGAGGGGGAUGGAAUUCCGCGUGUAGCAGUGAAAUGCGUAGAUAUGCGGAGGAACACUGAUGGCGAAGGCAAUCCCCUGGACCUGUACUGACGCUCAUGCACGAAAGCGUGGGGAGCAAACAGGAUUAGAUACCCGCGUAGUCCCUGUCUCUUAUACA